AGUGAACGCUGGCGGUAGGCCUAACACAUGCAAGUCGAACGGCAGCACAGUAAGAGCUUGCUCUUACGGGUGGCGAGUGGCGGACGGGUGAGGAGUACAUCGGAAUCUACUUUUUCGUGGGGGAUAACGAAGGGAAACUUACUCUAAUACCGCAUACGACCUACGGGUGAAAGCAUGGGAUCUUCGGACCUUGCGCGAUUGAAUGAGCCGAUGUCGGAUUAGCUAGUUGGCGGGGUAAAGGCCCACCAAGGCGACGAUCCGUAGCUGGUCUGAGAGGAUGAUCAGCCACACUGGAACUGAGACACGGACCAGACUCCUACGGGAGGCAGCAGUGGGGAAUAUUGGACAAUGGGCGCGAGCCUUAUCCAGCCAUACCGCGUGGGAGAAGAAGGCCUUCCGGUUGUAAAGCCCUUUUGUUGGGAGAAAAAAGCUGCAGGUUAUGACCCCGCUGUUCUGACGGUACCCAAAGAAUAAGCACCGGCUAACUUCGUG
Molecule: ribosomal RNA, 492 nt
Filed under: uncultured bacterium
Lineage: Bacteria
Description: partial 16S ribosomal RNA
Rfam family: Bacterial small subunit ribosomal RNA
Source: RNAcentral